UACGUAGGGGGCAAGCGUUGUCCGGAAUCAUUGGGCGUAAAGAGCGUGUAGGCGGCCAGAUAAGUCCGCUGUGAAAUCUCGAGGCUCAACUUCGAGCUGUCGGUGGAAACUGUCUGGCUAGAGUCCGGAAGAGGAGAAUGGAAUUCCUGGUGUAGCGGUGAAAUGCGCAGAUAUCAGGAAGAACACCUAUGGCGAAAGCAGCUCUCUGGGACGGUACUGACGCUGAGACGCGAAAGCUAGGGGAGCGAACAGG
This 253-nucleotide ribosomal RNA is filed under the name uncultured bacterium. Its description in RNAcentral is "partial 16S ribosomal RNA". It matches the Rfam family "Bacterial small subunit ribosomal RNA", at positions 524 to 776 of the family's 1533-position model. The record is from RNAcentral.